This 484-nucleotide ribosomal RNA is filed under the name uncultured bacterium. Its description in RNAcentral is "partial 16S ribosomal RNA". It matches the Rfam family "Bacterial small subunit ribosomal RNA", at positions 30 to 507 of the family's 1533-position model. The record is from RNAcentral.
AUUGAACGCUGGCGGCAGGCCUAACACAUGCCAGUCGAGCGGAUGAAGGGAGCUUGCUCCUGGAUUCAGCGGCGGACGGGUGAGUAAUGCCUAGGAAUCUGCCUGGUAGUGGGGGAUAACGUCCUGAAACGGGCGCUAAUACCGCAUACGUCCUGAGGGAGAAAGUGGGGGAUCUUCGGACCUCACGCUAUCAGAUGAGCCUAGGUCGGAUUAGCUAGUUGGUGGGGUAAAGGCCUUCCAAGGCGACGAUCCGUAACUGGUCUGAGAGGAUGAUCAGUCACACUGGAACUGAGACACGGUCAAGACUCCUAAGGGAGGCAGCAGUGGGGAAUAUUGGACAAUGGGCGAAAGCCUGAUCCAGCCAUGCCGCGUGUGUGAAGAAGGUCUUCGGAUUGUAAAGCACUUUAAGUUGGGAGGAAGGGCAGUAAGUUAAUACCUUGCUGUUUUGACGUUACCAACAGAAUAAGCACCGGCUAACUUCGUG